This 499-nucleotide small RNA is filed under the name uncultured Glomeromycotina. RNAcentral describes it as "SSU rRNA". It matches the Rfam family "Eukaryotic small subunit ribosomal RNA", at positions 591 to 1092 of the family's 1831-position model. Lineage: Eukaryota; Fungi; Glomeromycota. The record is from RNAcentral.
CCAAUAGCGUAUAUUAAAGUUGUUGCAGUUAAAAAGCUCGUAGUUGAAUUUCGGGAUCAGAUUGUCGGUCGUGCCUCGGUACGCACUGGCAUUAUUGGUUCCUACCUUCUGAAGAACCGCGAUGUCAUUAAUUUGGUGUCGUGGGGAAUCAGGACUGUUACUUUGAAAAAAUUAGAGUGUUUAAAGCAGGCGCACGCUUGAAUACAUUAGCAUGGAAUAAUGAAAUAGGACGUUUGAUUCUAUUUUGUUGGUUUCUAGGAUCGACGUAAUGAUUAAUAGGGAUAGUUGGGGGCAUUAGUAUUCAAUUGUCAGAGGUGAAAUUCUUGGAUUUAUUGAAGACUAACUACUGCGAAAGCAUUUGCCAAGGAUGUUUUCAUUAAUCAAGAACGAAAGUUAGGGGAUCGAAGACGAUCAGAUACCGUCGUAGUCUUAACCAUAAACUAUGCCGACUAGGGAUCGGAUGAUGUUAAUUUUUUAAUGACUCAUUCGGCGCCUUACG